GUCAAGUUCAUCAAACCACACCCGCUUGAAUGAAAAACGGAAGUAACCUGUUCUGAGGACAAUGUUUGAGAUGCUGCCCUCCACCAGAAAUGUCCUACAGAGGGUUCAAUCUCCUAAAACCUCAGUGACUACUAAAUCUGCACUCGGGCCAAACAUGUUGUCUGGUGGCACAACAGAGCCCUCCUAAAGUCACAGAGCACUGCAGUAAGUCUGGAGAGACCAAGGGAAGAAAAUCCCUUUUAAAGAUCGCCAGUGACAUACUCCAAAAAUCUUCUACGUGACAGGACUUUUUUUGAUGAUUUUUCUCCCAGUGUGAAAACUGAAGGCUGAUGAGAAGCUUUCCUUCCGCACCCAGGGACCGCGGACUGAGAACCAGUGCUCUGGAUCUUACAGAGAAAGGCAGACUCCUGUAGAAAGCAAUCUAAACCAGGAGCUUUGCUCAUUAACUUUUGCUGGACUGACGCCACCCAGAGCAAUCCCACGUUCUAUUGUCCAGGGUAUGUUUUAAUGAAGGAAAAAAACCCACCCCAAAAUAUCUCCACUGGUGUCUUUUAUUAAGUAAUGCAAAAUACAGUAUUAAUUAUGACACUGCAUGCAUUUUAGACAAUAUAAAUGCAAGCCUACAGAAAAUGUGACAAAGAAACCCUCAAUUAAUUUUGAGGUAGUAUACAAGGAAAAAUAGGAAAGCAGAAACACAGUGGAUUAAAGAACAAAAUAUUAGUAUCACUUUGUGCAUACAUUAGUCACUCAUAAAUACAUUUGUAUGAAAUAACUUAAGAUACAAUUCCAUUCUUGUUAAAAAAUAUACUUCUUCAAAUUCACUGUUCUUGUUUGUUGUGGGUUUUUUUUUUUUCACAUGACAUUUUAUGGUAUUUUAUCAGGUGGAUUUAUUUUUGAUCACCGCCGUCAUG
This is a long non-coding RNA of Chroicocephalus ridibundus (black-headed gull), 911 nucleotides long. RefSeq lists it as uncharacterized. Lineage: Eukaryota; Metazoa; Chordata; Aves; Charadriiformes; Laridae. The record is from RefSeq and is a predicted model, not a curated record. The transcript has 3 exons.